UACGGGGGGGGCAAGCGUUGUUCGGAUUCAUUGGGCGUAAAGGGUGCGUAGGCGGCGGGGUAAGUUUGAUGUGAAAUCCCGGGGCUCAACCCUGGAAUGGCAUUGAAUACUGCUUUGCUAGAGUACCGGAGAGGAAACUGGAAUUUACGGUGUAGCAGUGAAAUGCGUAGAGAUCGUAAGGAAGACCAGUGGCGAAGGCGAGUUUCUGGACGGUAACUGACGCUGAGGCACGAAGGCCAGGGGAGCAAACAGG
Molecule: ribosomal RNA, 253 nt
Filed under: uncultured bacterium
Lineage: Bacteria
Description: partial 16S ribosomal RNA
Rfam family: Bacterial small subunit ribosomal RNA
Source: RNAcentral